This 464-nucleotide ribosomal RNA is filed under the name uncultured bacterium. Its description in RNAcentral is "partial 16S ribosomal RNA". It matches the Rfam family "Bacterial small subunit ribosomal RNA", at positions 28 to 507 of the family's 1533-position model. The record is from RNAcentral.
GAUGAGCGCUGGCGGCGUGCUUAACACAUGCAAGUCGAACGGAAAGGCUCCUGCUUCAGGGGUACUCGAGUGGCGAACGGGUGAGUAACACGUGGGUGAUCUGCCCUGCACUUCGGGAUAAGCCUGGGAAACUGGGUCUAAUACCGGAUAGGACGAUGGUUUGGAUGCCAUUGUGGAAAGUUUUUCGGUGUGGGAUGAGCUCGCGGCCUAUCAGCUUGUUGGUGGGGUAAUGGCCUACCAAGGCGUCGACGGGUAGCCGGCCUGAGAGGGUGUACGGCCACAUUGGGACUGAGAUACGGCCCAGACUCCUACGGGAGGCAGCAGUGGGGAAUAUUGCACAAUGGGCGCAAGCCUGAUGCAGCGACGCCGCGUGGGGGAUGACGGCCUUCGGGUUGUAAACUCCUUUCGCUAGGGACGAAGCGCAAGUGACGGUACCUGGAGAAGAAGCACCGGCUAACUACGUG